Molecule: ribosomal RNA, 466 nt
Filed under: uncultured bacterium
Lineage: Bacteria
Description: partial 16S ribosomal RNA
Rfam family: Bacterial small subunit ribosomal RNA
Source: RNAcentral
GACGAACGCUGGCGGCGUGCUUAACACAUGCAAGUCGAACGGAAAGGCCCUGCUUGCAGGGUACUCGAGUGGCGAACGGGUGAGUAACACGUGGGUGAUCUGCCCUGCACUUCGGGAUAAGCUUGGGAAACUGGGUCUAAUACCGGAUAGGAGCCAUCUUUAGUGUGGUGGUUGGAAAGUUUUUUCGGUGUAGGAUGAGCUCGCGGCCUAUCAGCUUGUUGGUGGGGUAAUGGCCUACCAAGGCGGCGACGGGUAGCCGGCCUGAGAGGGUGUACGGCCACAUUGGGACUGAGAUACGGCCCAGAGUCCUACGGGAGGCAGCAGUGGGGAAUAUUGCACAAUGGGCGCAAGCCUGAUGCAGCGACGCCGCGUGGGGGAUGAAGGCCUUCGGGUUGUAAACUCCUUUCGCUAGGGACGAAGCUUUUUUGUGACGGUACCUAGAUAAGAAGCACCGGCUAACUACGUG